Molecule: ribosomal RNA, 301 nt
Filed under: uncultured bacterium
Lineage: Bacteria
Description: partial 16S ribosomal RNA
Rfam family: Bacterial small subunit ribosomal RNA
Source: RNAcentral
CAGUAGCCGCGGUAAUACGGAGGGGGCUAGCGUUGUUCGGAAUUACUGGGCGUAAAGCGCACGUAGGCUGCUUUGUAAGUCAGAGGUGAAAGCCCGGGGCUCAACCCCGGAUGUGCCUUUGAGACUGCAGGACUAGAACGUCGGAGAGGUGAGUGGAAUUCCGAGUGUAGAGGUGAAAUUCGUAGAUAUUCGGAAGAACACCAGUGGCGAAGGCGGCUCACUGGACGACUGUUGACGCUGAGGUGCGAAAGCGUGGGGAGCAAACAGGAUUAGAUACCCCUGUAGUCCCUGUCUCUUAUAC